GAUGAACGCUGGCGGCGUGCCUAAUACAUGCAAGUCGAACGGAGAUUGUAGCAAUACGGUCUUAGUGGCGAACGGGCGAGUAACGCGUUGAUGACCUGCCCCGAAGUGUGGGAUACCAGUUCGAAAGGAUUGCUAAUACCGCAUGUGAUCAUUGGGUCUAGAAGCCGAUGAUUAAAGGAGAAAUUCGCUUCGGGAGGGAUCUGCGUCCCAUCAGCUAGUUGGUAGGGUAAUGGCCUACCAAGGCGACGACGGGUAGGGGACCUGAGAGGGUGGCCCCCCACACUGGCACUGAAACACGGGCCAGACACCUACGGGAGGCUG
Molecule: ribosomal RNA, 321 nt
Filed under: uncultured Chloroflexota bacterium
Lineage: Bacteria; Bacillati; Chloroflexota
Description: bacterial SSU rRNA
Rfam family: Bacterial small subunit ribosomal RNA
Source: RNAcentral